ACCGAAUAGAUACCCGGGUAGUCCUGGCCAUAAACGAUGUCCACUAGAUCGUGGCCGCUCUGACGCGGUCAUGGUCGAAAGCAAAAGUGCUAAGUGGACCGCCUGGGAAGUACGGUCGCAAGGCUAAAACUCAAAGGAAUUGACGGGGCGUCACACAAGCGGUGGAGCAUGUGGUUCUAAUUACGUAAGCAACGCGCAGAACCUUACCUGGGCGUUGACAUGCCACGGAUUAUCCCUACUGAAAGUAAGGGUAGGCCCUUCGGGUUACGAACUGGUACGAGUGGCUGCAUGGCGUGUCGUCAGCUCGUGUCGUGAGAUGUC
Molecule: ribosomal RNA, 321 nt
Filed under: uncultured bacterium
Lineage: Bacteria
Description: bacterial SSU rRNA
Rfam family: Bacterial small subunit ribosomal RNA
Source: RNAcentral